This is a long non-coding RNA of Humulus lupulus (European hop), 825 nucleotides long. RefSeq lists it as uncharacterized. Lineage: Eukaryota; Viridiplantae; Streptophyta; Magnoliopsida; Rosales; Cannabaceae. The record is from RefSeq and is a predicted model, not a curated record. The transcript has 3 exons.
AUGAAUGGACCUUAGGUUAAAUUUUAUUAUGUGAUUAAUUAAAUUAAAUGUGAGAGACAUUUAAUUUAAUUAAUUAAUGUUAAGUUUGGUGAUUAAAACUUAAUAAGAGUGAAAAAAUGUGUCAAAAGUCAAGUUUGGACUUUUCUUCUUAUAAACCUUUAUUAACCUUUAUAAAAAAAAAAAAAAAAAAAAUUAAUGGUCACAUAUAUGGAAAAUGGUGGCUGGCCAUGUGCUAUUUUAGAGUGGUGUGAACCCAAUUUUAUAAAAUUCAAAUGCCAUUUAAUUAAGAAGUCAAGUGGGCAAGUGGGUAGAAAAGCACUCAAGUGUUUUGUGAUAUUUUGAAGAGUUGUGUGAGCCAUUCUAACCCCCAAAUCCGACCACUCUCCCUCCCUCAUUCACUCUCAUCUGAUUUUUUGAAGACUCUCUCAAGUGUUCUCUCCAUUUUCAACCCCAAGAACACCAAAGAAACUUGGAAGCUAAGUCUUGGUCUAGGAAGGGUUUUCCCUAAGUUGGUUAGGGUUUUUGAAAGGUUUUGAAGGAGUCAAAGCUUAUAGGAAGGUCCAAACCUUAAGCAAGAACACCAAAGAGGUAAGUGCAAGGGCAAGGCAGAGCAGUGAGUGCUGGAGUCUUCCUUGCAAAUGUACAUGUGGACCGACCUUUUGGGAAGCCUUUUUAUUUUUGGAAAUGUUGUGUAAUUUUCCUAAACUAGGCUCACUCUAAUAUUUAUAAAACAUGUUUGUAACUAAAUGUUAAGUAUGGCCAUACGACUUUUUAAAAAGUUUUUUUUUUCUAUGGGUUUUUGAGACAUUUUGUUAAAUGAAAACA